UACGUAGGGUGCAAGCGUUAAUCGGAAUUACUGGGCGUAAAGCGUGCGCAGGCGGUUUUGUAAGUCUGAUGUGAAAUCCCCGGGCUCAACCUGGGAACUGCAUUGGAGACUGCAAGGCUAGAGUGUGUCAGAGGGGGGUAGAAUUCCACGUGUAGCAGUGAAAUGCGUAGAGAUGUGGAGGAAUACCGAUGGCGAAGGCAGCCCCCUGGGAUAACACUGACGCUCAUGCACGAAAGCGUGGGGAGCAAACAGG
Molecule: ribosomal RNA, 253 nt
Filed under: uncultured bacterium
Lineage: Bacteria
Description: partial 16S ribosomal RNA
Rfam family: Bacterial small subunit ribosomal RNA
Source: RNAcentral